GCCUUAGUUGUGUAACGGUUAGAACACUCGGCGCAUAUUCGAGAGGUCCAGGUUCGAGUCCCGGCGAAGGCA
Molecule: non-coding RNA, 72 nt
Organism: Stegodyphus mimosarum
Lineage: Eukaryota; Metazoa; Arthropoda; Arachnida; Araneae; Eresidae
Source: Rfam